CUCGUCCUCCCCCUACACUUCUCUCCUCCUGAAGCCCCAGCACAUGGUCGUCGGCGGCGUCGCCGCUCAUGUCGUUCUUCCCCCAGCGCAUCCCGCAGCCUCCUGCAGGACGAUGCCUCGCCAUCUUCCAUCAACCAGCGCUGUGGGCCGUGGUUCUGGACCGGUCACAGGUCGCUGCCAAGGAGCAGAGGAGGACCGUAGGGGGAGAAGGAGCAGAGGAGGACGGCACUAGGGGGGGGGGGGGAAGAAGCAGCGAGACCGGAGGCCCAGACGGCGCUCGUGUCAUGUGUCAGACACUGCUCGUCGGCCCUUGUCGUGGUCCUCAAUCUAGGUUGCCCAUCUCCAUCUCGCCAUCUUCUUCCUUCGAAUUUUACCUUAGUUUUUUUAUGAUCUAAUUUCAAUCGUUGGUUUACUGUUUCUCUAAGCAUGAUGUGUGAAGAUAUGAGACAGAAAAGAACAGGAAGAAUUUAGACGAAGAAUUGGGUCAUGGGGAACAAGAGUUUAUUUCCUCGGUUAGUUGCUGGGUCAUCUAUGUCGUUGACUAUCAAGGUUAUGUUACUUCCCACUCCCUUUUUUGGUUUCUUCCUGUUGGAAGUGAUGUAGCCUGAAUCUUUCUUUGUCACCCUUUGGAUAUGUGUUCUUAUGAAUGUUAGCGAUUGGAGUUUCUCUGUUAUGUUAGUACAUGUUGCUGCUUUCAGGUUGUUUAAUUAUUUUAUACGGAACACGUUGGCGUUAUAUGGAGAAGAGGCAUAUAUAUGAUUCUUUGCGUAUUUGCAGUGCCGUGACUGCAGAGAGGUAAAAGAUAAAUCCAGAGAAGAUAAAAAGGAAAGGACAGAGGAUGCCCAGGAAAAUGAUUCUUAGAUGUACAGUUGCAGGUUAGCUAUUGCGAAAAUUGAUUGUUCCUCUCCUAUUUAGUGAAAUAUGUAUGGGCUCAUUUAUGUACGGUGGUUAGGACCAGCAACUUGAUUAGUUGUAGUCUACUUUAACUGACACAUCUUUAAACUAAACCGAACAAAUCCAUUUUAGUUCUUCUAUUUCUGAACUUAUGUUUCUAUGGUUUCACGGGUUCGGUUUGUGUUGCACAUUUAUGUGUCAACGACGACUAUCAAACAAGAAAGCCCACGCCUGACCUCUGUCAUGGAAAAUCUUAGAGCAGAAAGUGAUAGGCUUAUUUUUUAGUUAGAAAGAUAUGUAUACUGUAGCAUCAUAUAUUCAGGUAAUCCCUUGUAUUUUUCUUGCCAGGUUCAUGUUUUAUACAUCUUGUAUACACCCACAUAAACUAAAGUUUGUAGUGUCAGCAGUAAACAGGGGCACAACUAAGUAAUAUGGGUAGAAAAGUAAGAGCUUAUGAAAAGAAUAGUAUCUCUAUUGCAGAUGUGUGAGAGCACCCCCAUUAUCAUGCAAAUAGUACCAGGUUCAGAGCCUUGAUUAUGGCGGCUAUAAACACAAAAUAAUCCAUCUAAUUGGAUUUAGUAUAAAAACCACAUUCCGGCGGAAAUUACUCCAAUUAGAAUUCUAGCUGCAACAUAUAUCUAAUUUGUCCCAGAUUGAAAAUCUCAAUUUUUAAUCUCUGAAAUACAGCACGCACUUGUCCGUGUUGUUGCUCUGUACAGGACUUGCUUGUAUGCAUUCCUAAAUAGUGUACAGGUUGGAGCUAAACUGAAGCUUGCUGGUUGUGACGUGUCAGCCAUAAACUUGUAUUAUGACCAUUGCUUAUCCGGCUCAAAAACAGAGGCUGUUCCGUCUUCUCCUAAUCCAGACAAGCUGGCCCCUCUUCAUUGGUGCCCGUAGCAAAUUCAAAUUUGGUAGUGACACUGCAUGCCUAAAACUCUCCUGUAGGUUGAUUAUAUUACUGGAUGCAUAUGCAUAAAUCAGAGGAUAAGCAGCGGAAGGACAAGUUGUAUUUUUCGAGAUGUUCUCUUCUUCUUUAUUUUACAUGUUAAAGCAUGGACCUUCUUGCUCAGGAAUGAUACAAUCAAUCCAACUGUUACCUUUGGGGUGCUUUUUGGAUGGACUAAUCUGAAGAUGUUGGCUAGCUUGCACUGCCAUCAUAUAAUCUAGAAGCAAGGGCAAGGAUUAUAGGGAAAAUAAAGGCAAUUCGCCAACCGGAGGAAAUGCCAACCAAUACAUUUUUGUACUUCCUCUGUUACAGAGUUCGUCCAGGCCUUAGGGACGCUUUCCAUCACUAUCCAUGAACAAGUUCAACUCCGACAACAGUUCACCAAUAAUGUCGGCCGGUGCACCACGUCAGCAACGUCGACGGCCUGACAGGCCAUUUUCCAACUGGGCCUAUUAAAAUGAAGAUGUACUUUGCCGUUCCACUAAUCUUGGCAAAAGAGCAGAUUAUGGUGCCCCUCGUGCUACAGUGGAAUUGAAUCACAAAAAAUUCUAUAGAUUCAUCAAACAAUGAAGGAGGUUAGUUUUUACAUGAGGGGCAACGGCGGCCACCGUGGUCUUGCUGGAGCCUCGCUUGCAGUCGAAAGUCAUCAGCUUCAGGGAGUGCCAGCACAGCCAAAAUAGACGCCACCUUCGACGGGGAGCAACAGCAGCAACUGCGAGGAUUUGGCUAGCCGAUACGAGCAACGGCGGCGACAUACCCGCUUCCGCAGCUCCGAGCUGCUGGUCCCCCGAGAUGCACAUGGAGCCGGCGAGCCGUUGCGCCUCCAAUCUGCCGGGCCACUGAGAUGCAGAUGUAGCCGCAGCGCCUCUGAGCUGCAGCGAGAGCCGCUCCGCCGUCAAGCUGCAGAGUGAGCUGCCGUGAAGAUGGAGCCGUGCUUUCUCUCCAUUACGAGUACAAUGGGGAGAGGGGAACGAAUCCAAUGAACUGGUUGAUGGAACCAAGACCAACAGUCAACCACGUGGUGAUUCUAUGCUAUAUGCGCCACGCGUGUGUAUAGGUGUCCAGAAUGUGUGGUUCAGUGUCACAAUUGUAAUUUUAUCUUGGUGCUAAUUUGUAGCACUUGUAUGAUCUGUACUGUUUUGUCUGACUUAUUCCAACUACUAUUCUUAGAA
Long non-coding RNA from Triticum aestivum (bread wheat), 3012 nucleotides. RefSeq lists it as uncharacterized. The transcript is spliced from 9 exons. NCBI's taxonomy places the organism in Eukaryota, Viridiplantae, Streptophyta, Magnoliopsida, Poales, Poaceae. The record is from RefSeq and is a predicted model, not a curated record.